AUGCAAGUCGAACGGAAACAUGUCUAGCUUGCUAGAUGAUGUCGAGUGGCGGACGGGUGAGUAAUGCUUGGGAACUUGCCUUUGCGAGGGGGAUAACAGUUGGAAACGACUGCUAAUACCGCAUAAUGUCUUCGGACCAAACGGGGCUUCGGCUCCGGCGCAAAGAGAGGCCCAAGUGAGAUUAGCUAGUUGGUGAGGUAAAGGCUCACCAAGGCAACGAUCUCUAGCUGUUCUGAGAGGAAGAUCAGCCACACUGGGACUGAGACACGGCCCAGACUCCUACGGGAGGCAGCAGUGGGGAAUAUUGCACAAUGGGGGAAACCCUGAUGCAGCCAUGCCGCGUGUGUGAAGAAGGCCUUCGGGUUGUAAAGCACUUUCAGUUGUGAGGAAAAGUUAGUAGUUAAUACCUGCUAGCCGUGACGUUAACAACAGAAGAAGCACCGGCUAACUCCGUGCCAGCAGCCGCGGUAAUACGGAGGGUGCGAGCGUUAAUCGGAAUUACUGGGCGUAAAGCGCACGCAGGCGGUUUGUUA
Molecule: ribosomal RNA, 533 nt
Filed under: Alteromonas sp. C1ROTREFM2
Lineage: Bacteria; Pseudomonadati; Pseudomonadota; Gammaproteobacteria; Alteromonadales; Alteromonadaceae
Description: bacterial SSU rRNA
Rfam family: Bacterial small subunit ribosomal RNA
Source: RNAcentral